RNAcentral lists this ribosomal RNA (325 nucleotides) under uncultured bacterium. RNAcentral's name for it is "bacterial SSU rRNA". It matches the Rfam family "Bacterial small subunit ribosomal RNA", at positions 28 to 334 of the family's 1533-position model. The record is from RNAcentral.
GACGAACGCUGGCGGCGUGCUUAACACAUGCAAGUCGAACGGAGUGCUCAUGACAGAGGUUUCGGCCAAUGGAUUGAGUUACUUAGUGGCGGACUGGUGAGUAACGCGUGAGGAACCUGCCUUUCAGGGGGGGACAACAGCUGGAAACGGCUGCUAAUACCGCAUGACGCAUGACCGGGGCAUCCCGGACAUGCCAAAGAUUUUAUCGCUGAAAGAUGGCCUCGCGUCCGAUUAGCCAGUUGGCGGGGUAACGGCCCACCAAAGCGACGAUCGGUAGCCGGACUGAGAGGUUGAACGGCCACAUUGGGACUGAGACACGGCCCAG